CACACAGUCCCUAAACACCAUUAUUACAAUCCCACAUAGUCCCCAAACACCGUUAUUUGUCACGCUGAGCGGAACAGGUGAACGCAAGAGCAGACUCAGACGAGGAGACUGGGAUGAGGUAACCAAGAUAUUUAUUGAAACACAGGGGUAUGAUGGGGUGCAGGCCAGGGGAAGCUCGGGCGGGUUACAGGAAGCCCGGUGCAGAGGCUGAGGCUGGAGCGAGGGGAGUUGGGACUGGGCUAGCAGGUCCAGAGGCUGAGGCUGGAGCGAGGGGAGUUGGGACUGGGCUAGCAGGUCCGGAUAGGAAUCCAAGGACGCAGUGGAGUUGGGGGGGGUUCAGGACAGAGUAGCAGGACUGACGAGAUGUGGGACUGGAGACGGACCAAAGUCAGAGCGGGCAGAACUGUAGCGGACAGGACAGCAAGCGUCAGGCAAGGGAAAACAGGCAUAACACAAAAACAAGAUCUAAGCAGGAACAAAAGGCAACAACAAAAACAGACUGCCUGAGCA
Oncorhynchus tshawytscha (Chinook salmon) is the source of this 510-nucleotide long non-coding RNA. Lineage: Eukaryota; Metazoa; Chordata; Actinopteri; Salmoniformes; Salmonidae. The record is from Ensembl.